Molecule: ribosomal RNA, 542 nt
Filed under: uncultured archaeon
Lineage: Archaea
Description: bacterial SSU rRNA
Rfam family: Archaeal small subunit ribosomal RNA
Source: RNAcentral
GCCAGCAGCCGCGGUAACACCGGCGGCCCGAGUGGUGAUCGUGAUUAUUGGGUCUAAAGGGUCCGUAGCCGGUUUGGUCAGUCCUCCGGGAAAUCUGAUAGCUCAACUAUUAGGCUUUCGGGGGAUACUGCCAGACUUGGAACCGGGAGAGGUAAGAGGUACUACAGGGGUAGGAGUGAAAUCUUGUAAUCCCUGUGGGACCACCUGUGGCGAAGGCGUCUUACCAGAACGGGUUCGACGGUGAGGGACGAAAGCUGGGGGCACGAACCGGAUUAGAUACCCGGGUAGUCCCAGCCGUAAACGAUGCUCGCUAGGUGUCAGGCAUGGCGCGACCGUGUCUGGUGCCGCAGGGAAGCCGUGAAGCGAGCCACCUGGGAAGUACGGCCGCAAGGCUGAAACUUAAAGGAAUUGGCGGGGGAGCACAACAACGGGUGGAAGCCUGCGGUUUAAUUGGACUCAACGCCGGACAACUCACCGGGGGCGACAGCAAUAUGUAGGCCAAGCUGAAGACUUUGCCUGAAUCGCUGAGAGGUGGUGCAUGG